This 421-nucleotide ribosomal RNA is filed under the name uncultured soil bacterium. RNAcentral's name for it is "bacterial SSU rRNA". It matches the Rfam family "Bacterial small subunit ribosomal RNA", at positions 27 to 447 of the family's 1533-position model. The record is from RNAcentral.
GGGACGAACGCUGGCGGCGUGCUUAACACAUGCAAGUCGGGCGGUAAGGCCUUUCGGGGUACACGAGCGGCGAACGGGUGAGUAACACGUGGGUGAUCUGCCCUGCACUCUGGGAUAAGCCUGGGAAACUGGGUCUAAUACCGGAUAUGACCUGCUCUCGCAUGGGGGGUGGGUGGAAAGAUUUAUCGGUGCAGGGAUGGGCCCGCGGCCUAUCAGCUUGUUGGUGGGGUAAUGGCCUACCAAGGCGACGACGGGUAGCCGACCUGAGAGGAUGAUCAGCCACACUGGGACUGAGACACGGCCCAGACUCCGUACGGGAGCAGCAGUGGGAAUAGUGGACAAUGGGCGAAAGCCUAGAUCCAGCAAUGCCGCGUGAGUGAUGGAAGGUCGUUAGGGUUGUAAAGCUUCGUUUACCGGAUAG